CGACAAGCUGUGGUCUAUCUUGGGUUAGUUAAACACAUCUUUGUUGAUAUCAUGUGAUGCCAGUCAAAGCCGAACAGGAGCGAACUUGGCACGCGUCAACCAAAAAAAGCACGGAAACCUGCAAUGACAUAGAUGCAUGACCUGCCUGGAUAUGAGCAGCAUGGAGAACAGUGCCAUCUAGUGAAAUGAAAAAUAAACUAUUAUUACAGAUCAUUUAAAUUAACAAUAUUGAACUCAUGUAUAUUGAAGACUGCAAAAGCAAUUUGUUUAAUACACAUUUCGAUGUCCCCUUAUUAAAAUAAUUACAUGUACCGAU
Molecule: long non-coding RNA, 316 nt
Organism: Oncorhynchus gorbuscha (pink salmon)
Lineage: Eukaryota; Metazoa; Chordata; Actinopteri; Salmoniformes; Salmonidae
Exons: 2
Source: RefSeq, a predicted model, not a curated record